Bombyx mori (domestic silkworm) is the source of this 1059-nucleotide long non-coding RNA. RefSeq lists it as uncharacterized. The transcript has 2 exons. The record is from RefSeq and is a predicted model, not a curated record. NCBI's taxonomy places the organism in Eukaryota, Metazoa, Arthropoda, Insecta, Lepidoptera, Bombycidae.
AAGAUAAAAUUAUGUAUUAAUUUUGUUAGUAGUCAAAACAUAGGUAAACUAAAAAAAAAAAGGCUAAAACUAAACUACGCUGUUUUGACAGUAUUUAUUAAAAAAAUACUGGUGAUAGCAAAUGAUUCCUCAUAUUAACUCAAUUUCGAAUAUUUUUGUAAAUUGUACACUUUUAAUGCAAAAAAACGAUGUUGGGAUUGUACAGCAACUUAGUUUUUGUCCUUGUAUCAUGUGGAAUAGGGAUUUCAAAUAAGUUUGAUGACCCUGACCACAACCUUGAUUGGUUUAUAUCCAUUGCCCCCAUGCCAUUGGGAUGGACUUUUUCUGUUUCUUAUUUUGGUUUUUCUUUUACUUCAUCCAUUUCUGAUUAGUGUUUUAUUAUUGUAAACAUACACACUAAAAUUUAGAUUUUCUAAUACCAAAAUAUAAAAUAUCACAUUUUAUUUGUUUUUCUGUUAGUUCAUAAUUAAUUCAAGCAGAUCAUAUCUGCUUAUGUGGCAGAAUGUCUUUUCACCUUAGGUGUUUAUAGGUUUGAGUUGUCAACUUACUGAAUUCAUUGACAAUUAGUACCAUAUUUCAUUUUAUGCACAACUCUAAUUUUGCCUCACUACUAAAUGUUAUUUACUAAAACAACACACAUUGGAAGUGAUUUUAUUCUUCUCCAGUCUUCGAUCAACAAUAGUAACUAGAUUUCGGGUCGGUGCAUAAAAUCCGUCUCGUCAAAUAACAGCGCACUUGAAAUGUGAGCUCUUAUUUUGUUUAGUUUACUUCAAACACAGCCAAUGUCAACCCGUCUCACAAUACCGCAGUGUGUAUUCAAAAGUUGCAAAAAUAAGGCCCGAAAAGCAAUUUAACGGCCGGAGUAUCUUACUUUCGCUUUCCUAGCAAUCACGUGUGCAGAAUGGAUCUCGAUUGUCGCCAGAGAAACAAGAGAUGACUUUUAUAAGCCAGCUAAGAACUCCGCUUAUUGACACUGGACAUCUUUGCCUUCCGUGCUCACGGCUACUGAAAUGUGGCCGAAACAUUGUAAUAAAAAUACCACGCUUGAAACCGUUUAAA